Molecule: ribosomal RNA, 447 nt
Filed under: uncultured bacterium
Lineage: Bacteria
Description: bacterial SSU rRNA
Rfam family: Bacterial small subunit ribosomal RNA
Source: RNAcentral
UCGGGAAUUUUGGGCAAUGGGCGAAAGCCUGACCCAGCAACGCCGCGUGAAGGAUGAAGUAUUUCGGUAUGUAAACUUCGAAAGGAUAGGAAGAAUAAAUGACGGUACUAUUUAUAAGGUCCGGCUAACUACGUGCCAGCAGCCGCGGUAAUACGGAGGGAGCUAGCGUUGUUCGGAAUUACUGGGCGUAAAGCGUACGUAGGCGGUGACUCAAGUCAGAGGUGAAAGCCUGGAGCUCAACUCCAGAACUGCCUUUGAAACUAGGUCGCUAGAAUCACGGAGAGGUGAGUGGAAUUCCGAGUGUAGAGGUGAAAUUCGUAGAUAUUCGGAAGAACACCAGUGGCGAAGGCGGCUCACUGGACGUGUAUUGACGCUGAGGUACGAAAGCGUGGGGAGCAAACAGGAUUAGAUACCCACGUAGUCCCUGAGCGGGCUGGCAAGGCGCAU